GGCUUCGUUUCCGGUUUCGGCUUGAUUUUCUUCAAAUGCAUCUCUUUAAGAUUUUCACCGACUGGAUGCAGUUUCAGAGGUGCCACUCUUGGUUCCGUUGCACGAUCUCCGACAGCCCGGCUAAAGUGGAAGAACAGGAUUGUGAACUGGUCUUUCCGGUACAAUGCAUCCUAAAACAAUUGGCCCUCGAGUCGAACUUUCCAGUUGCAUUAAACCACCAUAUUCCCUUGGCAAUGGUACAGGUAGUGGACCGGCUAUCAAACGGACCUGAAAAUGGCAAAACCUUUAAGUAUGUAAUUCAGUAAGAAAUGAUAUACAAGAUCUCAUAGUAGAUACGGGGGAUAAAACAUUAUCAAAGGAAAGCAACGAUGGAAAGAAACACGAAUAGAAGAAAACAAUGGAAUAAACUUACCCUGAGAGGCAAUGGUCUUCUCGCAAGGUGAUGCAC
Long non-coding RNA from Bombus terrestris (buff-tailed bumblebee), 448 nucleotides. RefSeq lists it as uncharacterized. The transcript is spliced from 3 exons. The record is from RefSeq and is a predicted model, not a curated record. NCBI's taxonomy places the organism in Eukaryota, Metazoa, Arthropoda, Insecta, Hymenoptera, Apidae.